RNAcentral lists this small nuclear RNA (18 nucleotides) under Arabidopsis thaliana (thale cress). RNAcentral's name for it is "snRNA_16277". The record is from RNAcentral. Lineage: Eukaryota; Viridiplantae; Streptophyta; Magnoliopsida; Brassicales; Brassicaceae.
GAAAAUGUAAACAUGAUG